This 28-nucleotide small RNA is filed under the name Bombyx mori (domestic silkworm). RNAcentral describes it as "ovarian small RNA-9107". Lineage: Eukaryota; Metazoa; Arthropoda; Insecta; Lepidoptera; Bombycidae. The record is from RNAcentral.
UGUGCUGAAAAAGAUUCAGACGGUGUUC